GACGUGCUAAUCUGCGAUAAGCGUCGGUAAGGUGAUAUGAACCGUUAUAACCGGCGAUUUCCGAAUGGGGAAACCCAGUGUGUUUCGACACACUAUCAUUAACUGAAUCCAUAGGUUAAUGAGGCGAACCGGGGGAACUGAAACAUCUAAGUACCCCGAGGAAAAGAAAUCAACCGAGAUUCCCCCAGUAGCGGCGAGCGAACGGGGAGCAGCCCAGAGCCUGAAUCAGUGUGUGUGUUAGUGGAAGCGUCUGGAAAGGCGCGCGAUACAGGGUGACAGCCCCGUACACAAAAAUGCACAUGCUGUGAGCUCGAUGAGUAGGGCGGGACACGUGGUAUCCUGUCUGAAUAUGGGGGGACCAUCCUCCAAGGCUAAAUACUCCUGACUGACCGAUAGUGAACCAGUACCGUGAGGGAAAGGCGAAAAGAACCCCGGCGAGGGGAGUGAAAAAGAACCUGAAACCGUGUACGUACAAGCAGUGGGAGCCUCUUUUAUGGGGUGACUGCGUACCUUUUGUAUAAUGGGUCAGCGACUUAUAUUCUGUAGCAAGGUUAACCGAAUAGGGGAGCCGAAGGGAAACCGAGUCUUAACUGGGCGUUAAGUUGCAGGGUAUAGACCCGAAACCCGGUGAUCUAGCCAUGGGCAGGUUGAAGGUUGGGUAACACUAACUGGAGGACCGAACCGACUAAUGUUGAAAAAUUAGCGGAUGACUUGUGGCUGGGGGUGAAAGGCCAAUCAAACCGGGAGAUAGCUGGUUCUCCCCGAAAGCUAUUUAGGUAGCGCCUCGUGAAUUCAUCUCCGGGGGUAGAGCACUGUUUCGGCAAGGGGGUCAUCCCGACUUACCAACCCGAUGCAAACUGCGAAUACCGGAGAAUGUUAUCACGGGAGACACACGGCGGGUGCUAACGUCCGUCGUGAAGAGGGAAACAACCCAGACCGCCAGCUAAGGUCCCAAAGUCAUGGUUAAGUGGGAAACGAUGUGGGAAGGCCCAGACAGCCAGGAUGUUGGCUUAGAAGCAGCCAUCAUUUAAAGAAAGCGUAAUAGCUCACUGGUCGAGUCGGCCUGCGCGGAAGAUGUAACGGGGCUAAACCAUGCACCGAAGCUGCGGCAGCGACGCUUAUGCGUUGUUGGGUAGGGGAGCGUUCUGUAAGCCUGUGAAGGUGUGCUGUGAGGCAUGCUGGAGGUAUCAGAAGUGCGAAUGCUGACAUAAGUAACGAUAAAGCGGGUGAAAAGCCCGCUCGCCGGAAGACCAAGGGUUCCUGUCCAACGUUAAUCGGGGCAGGGUGAGUCGACCCCUAAGGCGAGGCCGAAAGGCGUAGUCGAUGGGAAACAGGUUAAUAUUCCUGUACUUGGUGUUACUGCGAAGGGGGGACGGAGAAGGCUAUGUUGGCCGGGCGACGGUUGUCCCGGUUUAAGCGUGUAGGCUGGUUUUCCAGGCAAAUCCGGAAAAUCAAGGCUGAGGCGUGAUGACGAGGCACUACGGUGCUGAAGCAACAAAUGCCCUGCUUCCAGGAAAAGCCUCUAAGCAUCAGGUAACAUCAAAUCGUACCCCAAACCGACACAGGUGGUCAGGUAGAGAAUACCAAGGCGCUUGAGAGAACUCGGGUGAAGGAACUAGGCAAAAUGGUGCCGUAACUUCGGGAGAAGGCACGCUGAUAUGUAGGUGAAGCGACUUGCUCGUGGAGCUGAAAUCAGUCGAAGAUACCAGCUGGCUGCAACUGUUUAUUAAAAACACAGCACUGUGCAAACACGAAAGUGGACGUAUACGGUGUGACGCCUGCCCGGUGCCGGAAGGUUAAUUGAUGGGGUCAGCGCAAGCGAAGCUCUUGAUCGAAGCCCCGGUAAACGGCGGCCGUAACUAUAACGGUCCUAAGGUAGCGAAAUUCCUUGUCGGGUAAGUUCCGACCUGCACGAAUGGCGUAAUGAUGGCCAGGCUGUCUCCACCCGAGACUCAGUGAAAUUGAACUCGCUGUGAAGAUGCAGUGUACCCGCGGCAAGACGGAAAGACCCCGUGAACCUUUACUAUAGCUUGACACUGAACAUUGAGCCUUGAUG
Molecule: ribosomal RNA, 2056 nt
Filed under: Escherichia coli
Lineage: Bacteria; Pseudomonadati; Pseudomonadota; Gammaproteobacteria; Enterobacterales; Enterobacteriaceae
Description: partial 23S ribosomal RNA
Rfam family: Bacterial large subunit ribosomal RNA
Source: RNAcentral